UAAGGGUAGAUGGCGAUGCCUGAGGCAAUCGACUUACAGGUAGGUGGCGCCUGAAGCAAUCGACUUACAAGAGAAAUGGCGAUGCAUGAAGCAAUCGACUUACAAAAGGAUGGAUGAAUACAUGUUGGUUCUGUUAAGUUUUGAAAAUGAUUACUCGACGUUGGAUCGAGCUUUUGAUCUUGUUUUGAAAUGAUUAUCGGAUGUUCGUUUUAACUCUUGUAUUAACAGAUGAAUAAAGAAUGAAAGAAUAAAUAUUAUACACUUUAUGGGAGAGGGGUACAUUUGUUAUGAAUGGGGAUGGUUCAUGGCAAUUAAACAAUAAGAAUAUAUGCCUAAUAAAGAAUGAAAGAAUAAAUAUUAUACACUUUAUGGGAGAGGGGUACAUUUGUUAUGAAUGGGGAUGGUUCAUGGCAAUUAAACAAUAAGAAUAUAUGCCUCAUACAUCAUACAAGUAGGCAACAGUUAUCAAUCAAAUCAGAUAAGCAAACAAUGUAUAAUCAAAUCAAAGAAUCGAAGAAUGGAAUAAUGAAGCAUCAAACAAUGCAUGGGAAGUAUGCACAUGUUGAACAAUCAAAC
RNAcentral lists this long non-coding RNA (576 nucleotides) under Lathyrus oleraceus (garden pea). RNAcentral's name for it is "Pisum sativum (pea) long non-coding RNA (PSAT_LNC031267)". The record is from RNAcentral. Lineage: Eukaryota; Viridiplantae; Streptophyta; Magnoliopsida; Fabales; Fabaceae.